ACGGGUGAGUAACGCGUGGGUAACCUGCCUUAUACAGGGGGAUAACAGUUGGAAACGACUGCUAAUACCGCAUAAGCGCACAGUGCUGCAUGGCACGGUGUGAAAAGAUUUAUCGGUAUAAGAUGGACCCGCGUCUGAUUAGCUAGUUGGUGAGGUAAUGGCUCACCAAGGCGACGAUCAGUAGCCGGCUUGAGAGAGUGAACGGCCACAUUGGGACUGAGACACGGCCCAAACUCCUACGGGAGGCAGCAGUGGGGAAUAUUGCACAAUGGGGGAAACCCUGAUGCAGCGACGCCGCGUGAGUGAAGAAGUAUUUCGGUAUGUAAAGCUCUAUCAGCAGGGACGAAGAAAUGACGGUACCUGACUAAGAAGCCCCGGCUAACUACGUGCCAGCAGCCGCGGUAAUACGUAGGGGGCAAGCGUUAUCCGGAUUUACUGGGUGUAAAGGGAGCGUAGACGGUGAUGUAAGUCAGAUGUGAAAGCCCAGGGCUCAACCCUGGGACUGCAUUUGAAACUAUGUGACUAGAGUGCAGGAGAGGUAAGUGGAAUUCCUAGUGUAGCGGUGA
This 566-nucleotide ribosomal RNA is filed under the name uncultured bacterium. Its description in RNAcentral is "bacterial SSU rRNA". It matches the Rfam family "Bacterial small subunit ribosomal RNA", at positions 102 to 684 of the family's 1533-position model. The record is from RNAcentral.